CAGUAGUCACGAGUUUGAUCAUGGCUCAGAACGAACGCUGGCGGCAUGCCUAACACAUGCAAGUCGAACGAGCCCUUCGGGUCUAGUGGCGCACGGGUGCGUAACGCGUGGGAAUCUGCCCUUAGGUACGGAAUAACUCAGAGAAAUUUGUGCUAAUACCGUAUGAUGUCGAAAGACCAAAGAUUUAUCGCCUAAGGAUGAGCCCGCGUAAGAUUAGCUUGUUGGUGAGGUAAAAGCUCACCAAGGCGACGAUCUUUAGCUGGUCUGAGAGGAUGAUCAGCCACACUGGGACUGAGACACGGCCCAGACUCCUACGGGAGGCAGCAGUGGGGAAUAUUGGACAAUGGGCGAAAGCCUGAUCCAGCAAUGCCGCGUGAGUGAUGAAGGCCUUAGGGUUGUAAAGCUCUUUUACCAGGGAUGAUAAUGACAGUACCUGGAGAAUAAGCUCCGGCUAACUCCGUG
Molecule: ribosomal RNA, 462 nt
Filed under: uncultured bacterium
Lineage: Bacteria
Description: bacterial SSU rRNA
Rfam family: Bacterial small subunit ribosomal RNA
Source: RNAcentral